UCUCACUCUCAUCUCAGGUCUCUACAUCGAUGGUGUCUCUCUCUCUUCUCUUUCCCAUCUCAGACUGAGUUCUCUCUCACACUCUCAUCCAUCUCAGAUCAGAUCGGUGUGCUGUUGCUCGUCUUUCUCUGUCGGUUGAGGCAUUAAGAUUGGGCUUGGGUUCCAGGGGAGAGCCUCUACAAGAACACUUCUGAACUUCUUCAUUAAGAUAUGGGGUACAUGUAGAGACAGUGUUUGGGUGACCUUACCCUACAUCUGCCUUGAUUGGUGGUUCAUCGGUGGUGAUGGUAAGGCUAGUACUCUUUGAUUGAGACUCAUCUAUGCCACUGUUUGGUUUGAUGGAGGUUUUAGGUAAAGAUGAGAGACACAUCUACAAAGUGUGUUAAUAAAAUAUAUUUUUUGAUUGGUUUAAAAUUUUUGAAUGUUUAAAUUUUGGUGGGAUCAAUACAGUUUUUGAAUAUGAGAUUCAUAAUUUUGGACCAAUUAGUUCGUGACAGAUUUAUUUUUGUUCAUGGAAAUGUAGUGUUGCAGUUUUUGAGAAGCAGCCAAAAAAUUUCAAGCUGAUUUGUGUUCUAACUAUGAGAAAUAUAUGGAAAAGAAACACAUCUGCAGAAGAGUGGAAAAGAGAAAAGAAUGAGAGAAAAUAGAGAUGUACAAAUACUGUAUUUGAAAUUUUAGUGGACAACUCAUGGAGUUCUUCCAAACUUUAAUUUGUAAUUGUAUCUUCAAUCUCAUUUCAAGUCAUGUUUACUUAUAUAAUCUUGUUUACAAAUUUUCAGCAGCUAUGUUGCUAUUGGAAUGGAAAUGCUAUUGGAAUGGAUGUUGUUUAUUUAUAUUGUUUACAGGCUGCUAUUGGAAUGGAUGUUGCUUAAUUAUAUUGUUUACAGGUUUUCAGCAGCUAUGUUGCUAUUGGAAUGGAAAUGAACCGUAGAUAACGGA
This is a non-coding RNA of Camellia sinensis, 939 nucleotides long. Lineage: Eukaryota; Viridiplantae; Streptophyta; Magnoliopsida; Ericales; Theaceae. The record is from RefSeq and is a predicted model, not a curated record.